UCCUCUCCCUACAGUUCCAGAGAGGUGGAUCGCAUGGUCUCCCUGCCCAUCGGAGGCCUCAGCUACGUUCAGGGGUGCACCAAAAAGCAUCUUAACAGCAAGACCGUGGGCCAGUGCCUGGACACCACAGCACAGAGGGUCCCAGAACGAGAGGCCUUGGUCGUCCUCCAUGAAGACGUCAGGUUGACCUUUGGCCAACUAAAGGAAGAGGUGGACAAAGCUGCUUCUGGCCUCCUGAGCAUUGGCCUCUGCAAAGGUGACCGGCUGGGCAUGUGGGGACCUAACUCCUAUGCAUGGGUGCUCAUGCAGUUGGCCACCGCCCAGGCGGGCAUCAUUCUGGUGAGGAGGGGCUUGCUUGGCACAGCUUGGUGUGCGUGGGG
RNAcentral lists this small RNA (380 nucleotides) under Pongo abelii (Sumatran orangutan). RNAcentral's name for it is "retained intron". The record is from RNAcentral. Lineage: Eukaryota; Metazoa; Chordata; Mammalia; Primates; Hominidae.